CUUGUUGGUGAGGUAAUGGCCCACCAAGGCGACGACCCGUAGCUGGUCUGAGAGGACGAUCAGCCACACUGGGACUGAGACACGGCCCAGACUCCUACGGGAGGCAGCAGUGGGGAAUCUUGCGCAAUGGGCGAAAGCCUGACGCAGCGACGCCGCGUGCGGGAAGAAGGCCUUCGGGUUGUAAACCGCUUUCAGGAGGGACGAAGCCACUCAGGUUAAUAGCCGAGAGGGUGACGGUACCUCCAGAAGAAGCCCCGGCUAACUACGUGCCAGCAGCCGCGGUAAUACGUAGGGGGCAAGCGUUGUCCGGAUUUAUUGGGCGUAAAGAGCGUGUAGGCGGCCAGAUAAGUCUGCUGUGAAAACUCGAGGCUCAACCUCGAGCUGUCGGCGGAAACUAUUUGGCUAGAGUCCGGAAGAGGAAAGUGGAAUUCCUGGUGUAGCGGUGAAAUGCGCAGAUAUCAGGAAGAACACCCGUGGCGAAGGCGGCUUUCUGGGACGGUACUGACGCUGAGACGCGAAAGCGUGGGGAGCGAACAGGAUUAGAUACCCUGGUAGUCCACGCUGUAAACGAUGGGUGCUAGGUGUGGGCGGUGUCGACUCCGUCCGUGCCGAAGCUAACGCAUUAAGCACCCCGCCUGGGGAGUACGGCCGCAAGGCUAAAACUCAAAGGAAUUGACG
This 678-nucleotide ribosomal RNA is filed under the name uncultured Actinomycetes bacterium. Its description in RNAcentral is "SSU rRNA". It matches the Rfam family "Bacterial small subunit ribosomal RNA", at positions 245 to 915 of the family's 1533-position model. Lineage: Bacteria; Bacillati; Actinomycetota; Actinomycetes. The record is from RNAcentral.